AGUCGANCGGCAGCACGGACUUCGGUCUGGUGGCGAGUGGCGAACGGGUGAGUAACAUAUCGGAACGUAUCCAAUAAUGGGGGAUAACUAAUCGAAAGGUUGGCUAAUACCGCAUACGCCCUACGGGGGAAAGCAGGGGAUCUUCGGACCUUGCGUUAAUGGAGCGGCUGAUAUCUGAUUAGCUAGUUGGUGAGGUAAAGGCUCACCAAGGCGACGAUCAGUAGCUGGUCUGAGAGGACGACCAGCCACACUGGAACUGAGACACGGUCCAGACUCCUACGGGAGGCAGCAGUGGGGAAUUUUGGACAAUGGGCGCAAGCCUGAUCCAGCCAUUCCGCGUGAGUGAAGAAGGCCUUCGGGUUGUAAAGCUCUUUCGCAAGGGAAGAAAACUUACUUUCUAAUAAAGAGUGAGGUUGACGGUACCUUGAUAAGAAGCACCGGCUAACUACGUGCCAGCAGCCGCGGUAAUACGUAGGGUGCGAGCGUUAAUCGGAAUUACUGGGCGUAAAGCGUGCGCAGGCGGUUUUGUAAGUCAGAUGUGAAAUCCCCGAGCUCAACUUGGGAACUGCGUUUGAAACUACAAGACUAGAAUAUGUCAGAGGGGGGUAGAAUUCCACGUGUAGCAGUGAAAUGCGUAGAGAUGUGGAGGAAUACCAAUGGCGAAGGCAGCCCCCUGGGAUAAUAUUGACGCUCAUGCACGAAAGCGUGGGGAGCAAACAGGAUUAGAUACCCUGGUAGUCCACGCCCUAAACGAUGUCUACUAGUUGUUGGUGGAGUAAAAUCCAUGAGUAACGCAGCUAACGCGUGAAGUAGACCGCCUGGGGAGUACGGUCGCAAGAUUAAAACUCGAAUGAAUUGACGGGGGCCCGCACAAGCGGUGGAUUAUGUGGAUUAAUUCGAUGCAACGCGAAAAACCUUACCUACUCUUGACAU
This 933-nucleotide ribosomal RNA is filed under the name uncultured bacterium. Its description in RNAcentral is "bacterial SSU rRNA". It matches the Rfam family "Bacterial small subunit ribosomal RNA", at positions 60 to 987 of the family's 1533-position model. The record is from RNAcentral.